GAUGAACGCUGGCGGCGUGCCUAAUACAUGCAAGUCGAGCGAACAGACGAGGAGCUUGCUCCUCUGACGUUAGCGGCGGACGGGUGAGUAACACGUGGAUAACCUACCUACAAGACUGGGAUAACUUCGGGAAACCGGAGCUAAUACCGGAUAAUAUAUUGAACCGCAUGGUUCAAUAGUGAAAGACGGUUUUGCUGUCACUUAUAGAUGGAUCCGCGCCGCAUUAGCUAGUUGGUAAGGUAACGGCUUACCAAGGCAACGAUGCGUAGCCGACCUGAGAGGGUGACCGGCCACACUGGAACUGAGACACGGUCCAGACUCCUACGGGAGGCAGCAGUAGGGAAUCUUCCGCAAUGGGCGAAAGCCUGACGGAGCAACGCCGCGUGAGUGAUGAAGGUCUUCGGAUCGUAAAACUCUGUUAUUAGGGAAGAACAAAUGUGUAAGUAACUAUGCACGUCUUGACGGUACCUAAUCAGAAAGCCACGGCUAACUACGUG
This 497-nucleotide ribosomal RNA is filed under the name uncultured bacterium. Its description in RNAcentral is "partial 16S ribosomal RNA". It matches the Rfam family "Bacterial small subunit ribosomal RNA", at positions 28 to 507 of the family's 1533-position model. The record is from RNAcentral.